Oncorhynchus gorbuscha (pink salmon) is the source of this 318-nucleotide long non-coding RNA. RefSeq lists it as uncharacterized. The record is from RefSeq and is a predicted model, not a curated record. The transcript is spliced from 3 exons. Lineage: Eukaryota; Metazoa; Chordata; Actinopteri; Salmoniformes; Salmonidae.
CCUGACCCCGCCACAGCAGCUGUGCUCGCUCCUCAAGCACUGAGAGUUCCCCAUGAGGGGUUAACGUUGGAGGAGUUGCCCUGCUCAAGACCUAUUUAGGAUGAUAUGAAAGCCCUCGUCUAAGGGGCAGUCAAGUCAUUGGGGUCAGGACUUGCUAUCAAAAUAAAUUUCUCUCUCGCUCGCUCAAACGUGACCCAUUUUGACUGCCAACACAACAACUGAAAGCAAAACAAGCAUUUUGGAAGUUCUGAUAAACAUGAUAAUUUCUUCUCAGACCAAGUACGACCGCAAUGUGGCUGAUAACAGGGUAAAGCGCUG